This 1051-nucleotide small RNA is filed under the name Arabidopsis thaliana (thale cress). Its description in RNAcentral is "ATSL257040". The record is from RNAcentral. Lineage: Eukaryota; Viridiplantae; Streptophyta; Magnoliopsida; Brassicales; Brassicaceae.
UUUUGGCAAAACGCGUGUACUCAUAGAAAAAUUGGUUAGAGUUGUCUGUGUAAAUAUUUAUUUAUUUUGGUCAAAAAACACAUAUCUUUCCAGAACCCCUCUAUCCAUUGGUUUUGAUGGCACGAGAUAUGUGCUAGGUAACCUAGUCUAGGUUUGUUUGCCAAUCUGUCGAGUAUCUUGUUUGAACAAUAUUCUUAGCUAGCUAGUGCCACCCAAACUUCCUCGGAGUAAACGCAAGUGAAGAAAAAAUGAUCUCGAGUUUUUGUCUCAGUAUUGCAAAGAAAACACGUAUCCGAAUUAAAUUAAUGGAAUGUAACCUUUUUCUGUUGAUCUCAUGUCGCGGUCGAGUUCCGCGGGAGUGGAUUAUCCCUUCUCCACCUCUAGUAUACUCAAACUGAACGUAAGUAAUUACUUUACGGUCUUCACCUACGUUUAUUGUCAUGACCUUCCGAAAGCCUCCAUCAUCCCAAUUAAAAAUAUCUUCUACAAGGGUACCCUCGCCAUGGAAGCUCCUACAAAAUCAGAUUUUCUUAUUCGAAAUUCCUGUACUCUAAUAUGCAUUCCAAUGGAAUUAAUUACAAGGGUACACUGGCCAUGGAGGCUCACAAAGUUUUCUCCAUCUCUCGUAAACUUAAACUCUUGAGAUCCUGAAUGUAUAUUACUAUGAGAAAAUCUUUUACUUCUCCCGUAUAGAUUGAGAACUCAAGGUUGAACAAGCGUUGCUCCCACAUUCCACAUUCUCAUACGAUCCCUUGUGAAGAGUCGAUUUAGUACCGCUAGCCACACACAAAAAGAGUGUCUAGGCGUCGCGUGAGUAAACCAUCCUUCUUUAUACCAGUUGAUUUGAUAAAAGCUUAUGUAUGCUGGGCUAGCGUUGGAUAUAUAUGCCAGUAUCUAGUGUUGGGAUUUUUUAUCCGAGCCGAACCGGUUUUUGGUGCAAACUUGGUUCAGUAGUCGAGUCGGUUCAAUUCGGAGAGAUUUAAAAAUAGGUUCGGUUUUUAGUUCGGUAAACUGAACAGAACGAUUAACCGAUUUUUUAAAAAGUAAACCU